This 1358-nucleotide ribosomal RNA is filed under the name uncultured bacterium. Its description in RNAcentral is "bacterial SSU rRNA". It matches the Rfam family "Bacterial small subunit ribosomal RNA", at positions 28 to 1381 of the family's 1533-position model. The record is from RNAcentral.
GAUGAACGCUAGCUACAGGCUUAACACAUGCAAGUCGAGGGGCAGCAUGGUCUUAGCUUGCUAAGGCCGAUGGCGACCGGCGCACGGGUGAGUAACACGUAUCCAACCUGCCGUCUACUCUUGGACAGCCUUCUGAAAGGAAGAUUAAUACAAGAUGGCAUCAUGAGUCCACAUGUUCACAUGAUUAAAGGUAUUCCGGUAGACGAUGGGGAUGCGUUCCAUUAGAUAGUAGGCGGGGUAACGGCCCACCUAGUCUUCGAUGGAUAGGGGUUCUGAGAGGAAGGUCCCCCACAUUGGAACUGAGACACGGUCCAAGCUCCUACGGGAGGCAGCAGUGAGGAAUAUUGGUCAAUGGGCGAGAGCCUGAACCAGCCAAGUAGCGUGAAGGAUGACUGCCCUAUGGGUUGUAAACUUCUUUUAUAAAGGAAUAAAGUCGGGUAUGGAUACCCGUUUGCAUGUACUUUAUGAAUAAGGAUCGGCUAACUCCGUGCCAGCAGCCGCGGUAAUACGGAGGAUCCGAGCGUUAUCCGGAUUUAUUGGGUUUAAAGGGAGCGUAGAUGGAUGUUUAAGUCAGUUGUGAAAGUUUGCGGCUCAACCGUAAAAUUGCAGUUGAUACUGGAUAUCUUGAGUGCAGUUGAGGCAGGCGGAAUUCGUGGUGUAGCGGUGAAAUGCUUAGAUAUCACGAAGAACUCCGAUUGCGAAGGCAGCCUGCUAAGCUGCAACUGACAUUGAGGCUCGAAAGUGUGGGUAUCAAACAGGAUUAGAUACCCUGGUAGUCCACACGGUAAACGAUGAAUACUCGCUGUUUGCGAUAUACAGCAAGCGGCCAAGCGAAAGCGUUAAGUAUUCCACCUGGGGAGUACGCCGGCAACGGUGAAACUCAAAGGAAUUGACGGGGGCCCGCACAAGCGGAGGAACAUGUGGUUUAAUUCGAUGAUACGCGAGGAACCUUACCCGGGCUUAAAUUGCAGAUGAAUUACGGUGAAAGCCGUAAGCCGCAAGGCAUCUGUGAAGGUGCUGCAUGGUUGUCGUCAGCUCGUGCCGUGAGGUGUCGGCUUAAGUGCCAUAACGAGCGCAACCCUUGUUGUCAGUUACUAACAGGUUCCGCUGAGGACUCUGACAAGACUGCCAUCGUAAGAUGUGAGGAAGGUGGGGAUGACGUCAAAUCAGCACGGCCCUUACGUCCGGGGCUACACACGUGUUACAAUGGGGGGUACAGAGGGCCGCUACCACGCGAGUGGAUGCCAAUCCCAAAAACCUCUCUCAGUUCGGACUGGAGUCUGCAACCCGACUCCACGAAGCUGGAUUCGCUAGUAAUCGCGCAUCAGCCACGGCGCGGUGAAUACGUUCCCGGGCCU